GGGGAUGAUCGGCCUCGAGGGAGAGCGAUUGAUCAUGCGUUCAGGCACCCCGCCAGGGCGGGGUUAAAUCUCACCCCUGGGAAAUCAAUAAGUGCAAACUUAUUUUCUAAAGUAACCGCUGCUUUUGGCGCUUUGCGUCCAAUGCAGUUGGCAACUUCUUACGCUUAACCGCGUAGGCAUCCGUCCUUGAUUCUCGCUAAAGGGUCGCGGGUGUUAUAAGCGAGAAAAACUCUAUCAAGAGUAUAACUUGAAAAAAUUUUUCCCGAGAGCAAUCGAGGGAAUAAGCCUGUAAACCGUAGAUCAUGAUUUUUUCCGACCCGGGUUCAAUUCCCGGCAUCUCCACAU
Molecule: transfer-messenger RNA, 345 nt
Filed under: Candidatus Giovannonibacteria bacterium RIFCSPHIGHO2_01_FULL_43_140
Lineage: Bacteria; Candidatus Giovannoniibacteriota
Also listed under: 6 other names
Rfam family: transfer-messenger RNA
About the family: Bacterial tmRNA, also known as 10Sa RNA or SsrA, is named for its dual tRNA and mRNA-like properties. Its role is to liberate the mRNA from a stalled ribosome.
Source: RNAcentral